GAUGAACGCUAGCGGGAGGCCUAACACAUGCAAGCCGAGCGGUAUUGUUUCUUCGGAAAUGAGAGAGCGGCGUACGGGUGCGGAACACGUGUGCAACCUGCCUUUAUCUGGGGGAUAGCCUUUCGAAAGGAAGAUUAAUACUCCAUAAUAUAUUGAACGGCAUCGUUUAAUAUUGAAAGCUCCGGCGGAUAGAGAUGGGCACGCGCAAGAUUAGCUAGUUGGUGAGGUAACGGCUCACCAAGGCGAUGAUCUUUAGGGGGCCUGAGAGGGUGAUCCCCCAACUGGUACUGAGACACGGACCAGACUCCUACGGGAGGCAGCAGUGAGAUAUUGGUCAAUGGGUCAAGCCUGAACCAGCCAUCCCGCGUGAAGGACGACUGCCCUAUGGGUUGUAAACUUCUUUUGUAUAGGGAUAAACCUACCUCGUGAGGGUACUGAAGGUACUAUACGAAUAAGCAACCGGCUAACUCCGUAGCCCAGCCAGCCCGUCGGUAAACUCGUCUA
This 504-nucleotide ribosomal RNA is filed under the name uncultured bacterium. RNAcentral describes it as "bacterial SSU rRNA". It matches the Rfam family "Bacterial small subunit ribosomal RNA", at positions 28 to 522 of the family's 1533-position model. The record is from RNAcentral.